UGGAUUCCUUCACCAGGUAAUUUUAUUUGGGUAAAAUACAGAAUUAGUCGACUGAACGAAACUAAUUACAUUCGCUAGUCAAAAAGUAUAUAAAAUAUGUAUAUUAUAUGUAUAUAGUAUAAAUAUAUACAAAAAAAUACAUUUUAUCUGUUAUAUUUGGGAGCGACUAAAAAUAUAUAUUUCUCAUUUGAUUUUUUACCAAUGAUUUUUAAUAAAUAUUUUUGGCAAUAUUUAAUUAGUUUUUUUCUCCUUGUUGGUUGUCUUUUAGACUGGAGAACAAAUGAUGCACAUGGCUCAAGGUACAGUUGAUGGGGUGAAGAACACACUAGGAAUAGGAUCGAACAAAAACAAAUGAAAGUCAAGAUCACUAAAUAAAUACUGUACCAAUUUUUUCCAUUGGUUUUAUUCUUCUUCCCCCCCCCCCCCCCUUUUAGUGUGCCUUUAUUAAGGUACGAGUGAAAAAUUACUAGUUUGUAUGUGAUUUGAAGUGAUUCUAUAGUGAAUGGUAAAAAUUUAUUCGCAUUCGUAAUCAAAAUUAUGAUCACUAUGUUAUACGCAUAUAAAGUUUUAUUGGCUUUUGGG
Molecule: long non-coding RNA, 582 nt
Filed under: Nicotiana tabacum (common tobacco)
Lineage: Eukaryota; Viridiplantae; Streptophyta; Magnoliopsida; Solanales; Solanaceae
Description: long non-coding RNA (NTAB_LNC005450)
Source: RNAcentral